This 197-nucleotide ribosomal RNA is filed under the name uncultured bacterium. Its description in RNAcentral is "partial 16S ribosomal RNA". It matches the Rfam family "Bacterial small subunit ribosomal RNA", at positions 328 to 539 of the family's 1533-position model. The record is from RNAcentral.
ACGCUCGACACCUACGGGAGGCAGCAAUGGGGAAUAUUGCACAAUGGGGGAAACCCUGAUGCAGGGACGCCGCGUGGAGGAAGAAGGUCUUCGGAUUGUAAACUCCUGUUGUUGGGGAAAAAGAGGAUGGUACCCAACAAGGAAGUGACGGCUAACUACGUGCCACAGCCGCGGUAAUCUGAGCGGGCUGGCAAGGC